AUACUCCAACCAAUCAUCAUUCUA
RNAcentral lists this microRNA (24 nucleotides) under Ananas comosus (pineapple). Its description in RNAcentral is "microRNA s1267_c028b". Lineage: Eukaryota; Viridiplantae; Streptophyta; Magnoliopsida; Poales; Bromeliaceae. The record is from RNAcentral.